RNAcentral lists this long non-coding RNA (468 nucleotides) under Monodelphis domestica (gray short-tailed opossum). Its description in RNAcentral is "lncRNA (ENSMODG00000034501.2)". The record is from RNAcentral. Lineage: Eukaryota; Metazoa; Chordata; Mammalia; Didelphimorphia; Didelphidae.
UACAGAUACAAUUGCAAGGAGAGCCUGUCGGCUCAAGUGUCGUCCCUUUGAUUUACAGUUGCAAUAGCAGGAGCUGCAUGAAUUUCAAAUGAUGUGAUCAUAUCCUACCAAUUCCUUGGGCUCCAGCGAGAGUGAACCCUGGGUAGAUCAUUUGCGGUGUCUUACAAUGAUGAACACACCAGGUUGUAAGAGAUGUGGAGUGUCACGCUAAGGGCUUCUGACCUGUCAUCCUGCCCUCAAUCAACCAUAAUCACCUCUACCAUGGUAUCCCCUAAGACUUCUCUUCCUUACAAUGAUUUUAUGAAGAAAAUUGUCCUUUCAAGUAAUUGGUUUCCAAAGAUAGUCCAGAGAAGGAAGAGGAAUUGUGCUAAAUGCUGGGGGCAAAAAUACAAGCAAAAAAAGAAAGAAAAGACCAACCUUCCAGGAGCUUACAUUCCAGCAGAGAAGAAUAACACAAAAGGGAAUUGA